AACGAACGCUGGCGGCAGGCUUAACACAUGCAAGUCGAACGGUUGUAGCAAUACAGCAGUGGCAGACGGGUGAGUAACACGUGGGAACCUUCCUAGGGGUACGGAACAACUCAGGGAAACUUGAGCUAAUACCGUAUACGUCCGUGAGGAGAAAGAUUUAUCGCCCUUAGACGGGCCCGCGUCGGAUUAGCUAGUUGGUGGGGUAACGGCCUACCAAGGCGACGAUCCGUAGCUGAUCUUAGAGGAUGAUCAGCCACACUGGGACUGAGACACGGCCCAGACUCCUACGGGAGGCAGCAGUGGGGAAUCUUGGACAAUGGGCGCAAGCCUGAUCCAGCCAUGCCGCGUGAGUGAAGAAGGUCUUCGGAUUGUAAAGCUCUUUUGCCAGGGACGAUAAUGACGGUACCUGGAGAAUAAGCCCCGGCAAACUUCGUGCCAGCAGCCGCGGUAAUACGAAGGGGGCUAGCGUUGUUCGGAAUUACUGGGCGUAAAGCGCACGUAGGCGGGUCGUUAAGUCAGGGGUGAAAUCCCGGAGCUCAACUCCGGAACUGCCUUUGAUACUGGCGAUCUUGAGAUCGGAAGAGGUGAGUGGAAUUCCCAGUGUAGAGGUGAAAUUCGUAGAUAUUGGGAAGAACACCAGUGGCGAAGGCGGCUCACUGGUCCGAUACUGACGC
Molecule: ribosomal RNA, 674 nt
Filed under: uncultured bacterium
Lineage: Bacteria
Description: bacterial SSU rRNA
Rfam family: Bacterial small subunit ribosomal RNA
Source: RNAcentral